CUGUCCACCCCUGUAAAAUUCACUAUAAAAGUUGGGCUAUUCGGGCAAUAAAAUGGUGAAGCAUGAUCUGACUCUGCUGGUGUCUGUCGUGCUUUCGUCCGUGCUUCGCAACAGGGGAACAGUUUGUAUCUCCAAACUUUUCCAAAGUAUAUAAAAUAUUUGAUUCCACCACAAACUUGGGAAAUCAGGUCUGCCACUGGCACAAGACUGAAUCUUUUUCUUAUGUGAAAUUCUGACAGGACUCCUUUGUGACAGAAGUGUUUAGGUAUUGACUGAAAUUUUUUGUUUUCAUCUCUUUUCUGAAGAAUUCAGCUUAGAUAAUCAACAUUUUAAGCCAUACAAAUUAGGAAAGCGUCUUCUGAUAAUGUUUUGCUAGCAGGAGUCAGUGAGAAGGACUUUUUUAUGAGCAUGUGCUUUGGUAAAUAAACAUGCGUUCCUCUGUUGUAUUUAAUGUCUAUAAGGGAAGAAACCCUACCAGUAGAAGUUUUCAUGCCCUUUUUUCUCCAAAAACAUACAGGUGUGUUUAGAGUAUGCAAAUCUUUUUAUCUCUGCUUACAGAAACCCUACUGCUACACCUCCUGGUGUCUCUUAAUCUUUAAUGUUUCUGUCUUUAAAUGGCUCUCCUUCGUGUCUUCUUCCCCCAGCAAGACAAGCACUUAUUUUCCCAUUUUAGGUAUGAGGAGCUGAGGUUAGAUUUUCAGUUCCCAGGUACAAAAAAAAAAAAGAACAGCCCAGAGGGAAGAAUCCCAGGUUAGAUGAUUUUAGCUUAAAUGCAAACAGAACAGAUGAAUGACAUGAUACUGGGGACAUACAUGUCUUUGCUUAGCCUCAUUCCAUCCAACAACUGUCCUCAAUAUAUACUGCACAAUUUUAGUGCUGGUUUAAAGCUCCUCAAAGUUCUCUACAGUGAAUAGAAACUGGUUCUUCUUAUAGGUCAAUGAUAAGUACUGGACUACUGGAGAUGACUACAGAAGAAUGUACAGAUGUCCUUCAUCUCAGCUCACCUGAGAUGACAUCAUGUUUCUUCUAUCAGAUGAAAUAGAGUGUCUCAGGAACUACAUCUGGCUGCUACUGUCGUUGCAGCGAGGCUAGGGAUGAAGUGUGCAGGUGAUCCUGGUGCUUCAGUGUGGGCUGCCUCCCUGGCAGCACAGAUCCUCUCUCCAUCGCCUGUUGCUUCUUGCCUGGUUAUUCAUUGCCUUCCAGUGUUGCCCCCAGAUGGGGCAAUACCUGUUUUCUUUCUGGAGAGCGAUUUGCCUGUCCUAAACAUCUGUCUAUUUUGCCUUUCCCAGAGCCGGCUUGAACUGUUUAAAUGCGACGCAUCAGGAUCACAUGGAACAAUUCCCAUAUUCAUUAUAGUAUGUCUGGGACAACUCCAGCCAUUGUUUCAAGACAACUUCGUAUUUGAGAUAGUUAAUGUGUUUUAGCUCUUUUUAAUAUGAUUUAGUAGCUGGGUGUAAAAACAACAAAUCAGACAUGCUAUCAGCCAAUUCACUGAAUGCAGGAGUUUGGAAAUCUUGCCUGUACAGACCCUUGUCUUUCACACACUCAUUCAGUGAGGUGAGCCCCCCCCAUCACUCUCUGGAGAGAACCGCAGCCCUUCCCUGUGCCUGCAGCCCCUUCUCCCCAGGCUGAAAAGGCCAGCAGGACAAGAGUGCCCUGGCUCAGGCUUCUGCCCCAGGGCCCCGUGUUGCUGCAGGUGAGCUCAGACCACGCUUCCAGGUUUAGAGGUCCACACCUUGAUGUUCUCACAGGGAAAAUGUAAGUAUUUGUAUUAGGUCAUGUAAUUUUGUAUUGGUGUGUUGUGCAAUUUACAGAUAGUAAUUUCUAUUCAUUUCUGGCUGGUAUGAUGUCCAGCACUGUGUGGAUGUUAUUAUCCAUACAAUGGCAGAUCUGAAGAGGGCUUGGGAGCCCAGCACUCAGCUGGGACAAAUCAACAUUGCUGUAUUUAUGUGAGAGAAGUGAUAUUGUUUUACCAUAGCUACAACACAUCCAUUUCUGAGCAUGUUUGCUAUUGUUAAUACUCACCUUGGUGAUAACUAGAUAACUGUGCAGUUACUCACAAAAUUUCUUGCUUGCAUUUUUACAGUCUUUCCCCUUCCCACCUCCUACCUCCUCUGCUUGGCCACAGUUAUUUAUACAGCUUGGUAUUGCUUUUCAUUAAAUAUAUCUUUUCCAAAUGUCUGUUUAGGUUUACCUGAAUUUUAUGGGACUGUCUUGGAAAUGUUGAAUAAAAUUCUGACUUUCAUCUCUUGUCUAGACUUCUGCUAAACCUCCAGGGCAUUGUGGAUGACAAGUGACAGCUUUUAAGAUGAACUUUUUCUAAAAAGUUUUUUAAUCCUCCUAAGGAAACCCUUCUGAAGAAAAUGAAUCCAAAAUGUGUUCACAAACCACCACAUUCUCUCUCUUGACCUUCUGGAUAAUUCCCCAGGACAAUUUCAGCAAAAUGUCAGCAACCAGUGUGGAAUGAGCAACACUGUGGAAGGGCCCUGGCUAACUGUCUCUGAAGGCAACCGCAAAGUAAGUGACUUGCAAGUUACCAGAUUCACACUGAAGGGAGGAAAGUUUAGUUUCUCUCCUUGAGACAAUGAAAGCAAGACAAAAUGUGAAUAAGAGAGCUUAGGCAUUUUGGAGAGGUCCUUCAGAAAUACAUACUGCAAUAGCAAUGUCUUCCUUAAUUAAUUAUGCAGUCUGAAUCCUUUCCAUUAAGCACUUGGCAAAAGUAUUACCCUCUAGCUCUCCCUACUGGAUUAUUAUUACAUAAUUUCUAUAUUUAAUGUGUGUGAAUGUAUCUCUUUUAAACAACUAAUUAAGCAAUAACCCAAAUAUCUCACUAUAUGGUAUAGAUGCUUCAUAUUUUAUGUGCAUUCUGACAGUUAUGGCCAUGGCUUGUUUAUUUUAUUUUGUUUAUUUUGUGAUAUAUUAGAAAAGAUACUAUUUCUUCUUCUGCAGUUUACAAAGAGUCAUUCUAGAGCAUGAGGCUAUUUCUCAUAGGUGAGACUUCUAAAAACACCUAGGUGAUUUUUAAGAAUUCAAGAUGAUUUUUCAAAUGUGAUUUGGAUGCUUAGAUGCCUAAAUCUUAAUGUCUUUCACUGAAAUUUAGUUGUCCAUUCAAAAAAUCUUUUAGUAACAUUUAAUCACAUGCUGUUCUAAUUGAAUUGAUUUUUUUAAAGCUAAAGGAAAGACUAGUCUAUUUGGAUUUCAUCUUUCUGCAAUACCCAGUUGAAGUUCUCUGUUCUUUCCAGGGGAAAAUGUCCAGCAUGGGUAUUUUAGGUUUGAAAUGCCUUUCUUUCUGAUAUGAAAUGCAAACUUGUAUAUAUUCUACUAGAGCAAAAUGCACAGCUCUUCUGCCUACCACUGAUAAAUCAAGGCAAACAAAUUAUGCAAUGGGACCAUUCUGCAAAUCGUGCUCAGUGGAUAGCAUGUAAAAGGAGCAUCAAGGCAACUCUGCAAGGAAAAUCUUCAGACUGAAUUUUAUUAACUAAAAUGGAUAUGGGGCUGCUGGGAUAUGAACAUGCCAUUCUGGGGCAAACUAAUUGCCUGUUCAGCAACUAAAAGCAAGAUACCUUUGUUCUUAUAAAACUGCAGAAGGAAGCUGGAAAGAAGCAAGGUAUAAAUUAGGAUUUUGACAUUACUAAUAUGUAAUUAUGUGUAUAUAAUAUGUAUAUAAUAUGUUCUGGUUUUGACAUCAGUAAAUAAAGGUAACUUGCACAGCAAAUAUGCUGUGUUGAGUUACAGGUUUCAUCUCUCCUAAUAACUAUGUAAUUUUCUUAAGUCUCCAUGGCACAUACUUUUUGAUUUUUUCAUUAAAAAAAUAAUAAUUGUUGGUCACAUAACACAUUAUUAGAAGAAUUGUAAAGAAGGAGGAGAGAGAAGCAAUUUUAAUAAUGCCACAAAUUAUACUACUACUCCUGAAUGUUUGUGUUGGAUUUCAUAUGAUGCAUGAGAAUCUGACGUGUCCUGUGGGGGCUAGUUUACAUUUUUUAAUGAAGGGUUACAGUACUCUGGACCAAUAGUUUAUUUAGUUUUGCACAAGUGAGGUAAAUAUUUAUUAAACAUUUGACUCAUUGCAUUUUGUGGAACCCUUGCACUCCAAACCUGUAUGAUUCACAGUAUACCAAAAGCAAAUAUAAUACCCCUAAAUCAUACCUGCGUAUUAAAAGAAAAUCUGUCAGUGCUUUUAUUCCCAGCUCUUUACCUUGUAUCACGCAAGAGAAAAAAGAAGCAAGCAAGAAAGCAGGCUGCUACUCAGAAAUGAAUUCACUGGGUUCUUUUGUUAGGAAGUGCUUGUCUGGAUUGGCUAGGCAAAUAAUGAACUUGAGUAAACAUGCUCUUGGUUUUUAGAACUUAUAGCCCCUGAUUUAAAAAUAAAUAAAUAAAUAAUAAUAAUACUAAUAAAAUAACCACAUAUUACCUCUCUCUUGUGUGUGUGCGUGCUAGAAAGGUACAUCAGAUCAGUGGUGUAUUCAGAUUAUAUAUCUGGUACCAUGAUUUCCUAUAUACAGCUUAUAUUUAUAUUGACUUUAUUCCAAGACUUUAAUUCUAAGACUUUAUUCCAAGAGAUGUCAGUGACAAGAGUGUACCUCAGCUGAAAGGUUAUUUCAGAGACUGACCCACUCCCUGCUGGAGGUGCUAGAUUCAGUAAAGGGUGCAUGUGUCUCACUAUUCCAUUAAAAAACAAAAGUCACUAGGACACGUAAAAGGUGUCCCUUGAUCCCAUCAAAAUUACAGGAUUUUUGCUCCCAUUGCUCCUAAAGACCUUUAAAGUAGACCUUGCUAAGCUUAUGAGAGGCACUCACAAACUGCUUGUGCUCAGAACCCUGCACAGAUUUCCAGAGUGACAUUUCUGUGAAGUAAAUUGGCAGCUACAGACAUAUUGUCUUUUUGCUUGUUUGCUUUCUGGUCUUCUUUGUCUCAAAUUCUUCCCUGCACAGGGACAUGAUUCCACAAUACAUGAAUGAAAAUAAAAGUAGCUGAUAACCUAGUGGUAAUUUCAAUAUUUGAGGAGAUGAGUUUGAAUCCCUGUGUGCUAGACACACAAAAACUGUGGUCUUCCAUCUCCUACUUCAUCCAUCUUUUAAAUAAGCAUGUAUGCAAUCUCAUUUUGUGUUGAACUUGAACAGAUUGUGCUAUAGAAAUACUUUCUUGAGACUCUCUCUAAACAAAAAGUACAGAGAUUGUACAGUUCAAGUGGUCUGAAAGUUAUGCAGUGUUAAUCAGUUCUGUGCUUCUUAAUUCUGUUUUCAAAUUUGGCCAUAGCUGUCUUUCUAUUCACUUUUGUGACACUUGAUUGAUUUUGUUAUUAACAUUAGAAGUCCUGGGAUCAGAUAUUUCUGUGUUGAACAGACAUACAUCAACACAAUUCUACUGAAAUGUACAUUGAUUUGCAUCAGUGUUUUUAGUUUAGAAAAAUGUUUACAUUUGGGGGUUAACAUCUCUCUAUGUAUAUAAGAUAGAUAAAAAUGUUAUUUAUAUAUAUUUGCAUUUUACUCUGAUAUAAAUGAAUGUAUAUCUUUAUCUUUCUGAUACGUGACAUUUACUUAUAGAUCUGCAGUUACGUUCUGUCUCCAGACAAAAACUGUAAAGCCAGCUUUUCCUGAGUACAAGGAAAUCCAUCUUGAAACUUUAAUUACAGAAUAAUCUAUCAAUGACAAAUUACCAGAGGGUGGAUAUGUCACUCACAGUGUUGGCAUGUAAUUUCAGAGAACACAACUGAAAUCACUGGAGAUUAACAGAUCUGAGUAUUUGUUUGCACUUAACAGACAAAGGGAACAUAACUGAUAUGAAGAAAUUUCUGCAUGGUUUCUAUAUUAAGAGAUUAGUUGGAAAUUUCUUCCCUCUUGAAGAAAAAGCAGGCACCAGAGUGAGUCUACAUCUUUUGCAAAGUCAGUAGAAAUUCUACUGAAACAAGUAAUCACUUGACUACUAGCUUUUUUAUUAUUAUUAUUUUUUAAUUGUGUAGGGGUUCAUGAAGUCUCCACACUGGAUGAAUUCCUCAGCAGCUUUUUAUUUGUCUAAUGGAGACAGCUCUUGCAGCCUCAUAUCAGUUUCUCUUUUAAGAGUGUGUUUGACUGGAGAGGCUUCUGUGAGGAUAUGAGAAGUAAGGGUGUUUUUUUCUACAGUUAUGUAAUUUAAAUAAUGAUUUUAUAUGUCUUGUAACUGAUCGGGUGCAUGUGCAUUUUCAAAAUAGUGGUUCUAUGUAGAGUUCCUAUAUAACUGUCAUUUGGGCUAAAGAUUAUGGUAUAUUCUGUAACAGGAAAUGCACUGGCAAAUAUUGUACAACUAUUUGUUGUAAUGUUUUUCACUUAGCUGAUUAGUAAAAGCUCUUAAAAAAAUAAAAAAUAUAAUAAAAAAAUAAAAUAAAAAAUAAUAAAAAAAUAAUAAAAUAAAAUAAAAUAGAA
Molecule: long non-coding RNA, 6398 nt
Organism: Anas platyrhynchos (mallard)
Lineage: Eukaryota; Metazoa; Chordata; Aves; Anseriformes; Anatidae
Source: RefSeq, a predicted model, not a curated record